RNAcentral lists this ribosomal RNA (435 nucleotides) under uncultured bacterium. Its description in RNAcentral is "partial 16S ribosomal RNA". It matches the Rfam family "Bacterial small subunit ribosomal RNA", at positions 29 to 507 of the family's 1533-position model. The record is from RNAcentral.
AGCGAACGCUGGCGGCAGGCUUAACACAUGCAAGUCGAGCGGGCACCUUCGGGUGUCAGCGGCAGACGGGUGAGUAACACGUGGGAACGUACCCUUCGGUUCGGAAUCACGCUGGGAAACUAGCGCUCAUACCGGAUACGCCCUUAUGGGGAAAGGUUUACUGCCGAAGGAUCGGCCCGCGUCUGAUUAGCUAGUUGGUGGGGUAACGGCCUACCAAGGCGACGAUCAGUAGCUGGUCUGAGAGGAUGAGCAGCCACACUGGGACUGAGACACGGCCCAGACUCCUACGGGAGGCAGCAGUGGGGAAUAUUGGACAAUGGGCGCAAGCCUGAUCCAGCCAGGCCGCGUGAGUGAUGAAGGCCUUAGGGUUGUAAAGCUCUUUUGUCCGGGACGAUAAUGACGGUACCGGAAGAAUAAGCCCCGGCUAACUUCGUG